RNAcentral lists this ribosomal RNA (113 nucleotides) under Caerostris darwini. Lineage: Eukaryota; Metazoa; Arthropoda; Arachnida; Araneae; Araneidae. The record is from RNAcentral.
CUACGGCCGUACCAUGCUGAAUAUACCGGUUCUCGUUAGAUCACCGAAGUUAGGCAUCAUUGGGCGCGGUCAGUACUUGGGUGGGUGACCACCUGGGAACACUGCGUGCCGUU